UACGGAGGGUGCAAGCGUUAUCCGGAAUCACUGGGUUUAAAGGGUGCGCAGGCGGCUUGAUAAGUCAGGGGUGAAAGCCCGCAGCUUAACUGCGGAACUGCCUUUGAUACUGUCGAGCUUGAAAGAGGUUGAGGUCAGCGGAACGUGACAUGUAGCGGUGAAAUGCAUAGAUAUGUCACAGAACACCGAUUGCGAAGGCAGCUGGCUGGAACUACUUUGACGCUGAGGAACGAAAGCGUGGGGAGCGAACAGG
This 253-nucleotide ribosomal RNA is filed under the name uncultured bacterium. RNAcentral's name for it is "partial 16S ribosomal RNA". It matches the Rfam family "Bacterial small subunit ribosomal RNA", at positions 524 to 776 of the family's 1533-position model. The record is from RNAcentral.